UAAGCACAUGCCACGUGGAGAUGCUA
Molecule: non-coding RNA, 26 nt
Filed under: Homo sapiens (human)
Lineage: Eukaryota; Metazoa; Chordata; Mammalia; Primates; Hominidae
Source: RNAcentral